Molecule: ribosomal RNA, 482 nt
Filed under: uncultured bacterium
Lineage: Bacteria
Description: bacterial SSU rRNA
Rfam family: Bacterial small subunit ribosomal RNA
Source: RNAcentral
GAUGAACGCUAGCGGCAGGCUUAACACAUGCAAGUCGAGGGGCAGCAUAAUGGAUAGCAAUAUCUAUGGUGGCGACCGGCGCACGGGUGCGUAACGCGUAUGCAACCUACCUUUAACAGGGGGAUAACACUGAGAAAUUGGUACUAAUACCCCAUAAUAUCAUAGAAGGCAUCUUUUAUGGUUGAAAAUUCCGAUGGUUAGAGAUGGGCAUGCGUUGUAUUAGCUAGUUGGUGGGGUAACGGCUCACCAAGGCGACGAUACAUAGGGGGACUGAGAGGUUAACCCCCCACACUGGUACUGAGACACGGACCAGACUCCUACGGGAGGCAGCAGUGAGGAAUAUUGGUCAAUGGACGCAAGUCUGAACCAGCCAUGCCGCGUGCAGGAUGACGGCUCUAUGAGUUGUAAACUGCUUUUGUACGAGGGUAAACGCAGAUACGUGUAUCUGUCUGAAAGUAUCGUACGAAUAAGGAUCGGCUAUU